GGAAAUGACUGGGGACAUCCUGCAAGUGAAAACUCUUUUCCGCCGCCCAUCGUGCAUGGAUGCUCUCUCCCAAUAUCUGACCAGUGAGGUGGAGUUUUGGGCAGAAGGAUCCAAGAAAAAGGUGAACUUCAGCGGCCCGAUGGACAUUGACACCUCCCAGUUUGGCAGCGGCACGUACUGCUUCCAGGCCCGAACCCUUUUCUCGCUAACUGAAAAGCGGAGCAGGUUCUCUGAGCCGGAGUGCAGAGUCUUCCACGAGAAAGGAAACUGGGAAAGUGUUGCUCUUCCUCUGCUGUUACUGCUAAUCUUGCCUGCCGGCUCCUUUACAGCCUUCCGCUGGUACAGAACCAUG
Molecule: long non-coding RNA, 352 nt
Filed under: Salvator merianae (Argentine black and white tegu)
Lineage: Eukaryota; Metazoa; Chordata; Lepidosauria; Squamata; Teiidae
Description: lncRNA (ENSSMRG00000015943.1)
Source: RNAcentral